This 253-nucleotide ribosomal RNA is filed under the name uncultured bacterium. RNAcentral describes it as "partial 16S ribosomal RNA". It matches the Rfam family "Bacterial small subunit ribosomal RNA", at positions 524 to 776 of the family's 1533-position model. The record is from RNAcentral.
UACGGAGGAUCCAAGCGUUAUCCGGAUUUAUUGGGUUUAAAGGGUGCGUAGGCGGCUUUGUAAGUCAGUGGUGAAAUCCUGUCGCUUAACGACAGAACUGCCAUUGAUACUGCAGAGCUUGAAUAUGUUUGAAGUGGGCGGAAUGUGUAGUGUAGCGGUGAAAUGCUUAGAUAUUACACAGAACACCGAUUGCGAAGGCAGCUCACUAAACCAUUAUUGACGCUGAGGCACGAAAGUGUGGGGAUCAAACAGG